AUUGAACGCUGGCGGCAGGCCUAACACAUGCAAGUCGAGCGGAUGAAGGGAGCUUGCUCCUGGAUUCAGCGGCGGACGGGUGAGUAAUGCCUAGGAAUCUGCCUGGUAGUGGGGGAUAACGUCCGGAAACGGGCGCUAAUACCGCAUACGUCCUGUGGGAGAAAGUGGGGGAUCUUCGGACCUCACGCUAUCAGAUGAGCCUAGGUCGGAUUAGCUAGUUGGUGGGGUAAAGGCCUACCAAGGCGACGAUCCGUAACUGGUCUGAGAGGAUGAUCAGUCACACUGGAACUGAGACACGGUCCCGACUCCUACGGGGGGCAGCAGUGGGGAAUAUUGGACGAUGGGCGAGAGCCUGAUCCAGCCAUGCCGCGUGUGUGAAGAAGGUCUUCGGAUUGUAAAGCACUUUAAGUUGGGAGGAAGGGCAGUAAGUUAAUACCUUGCUGUUUUGACGUUACCAACAGAAUAAGCACCGGCUAACUUCGUG
This 484-nucleotide ribosomal RNA is filed under the name uncultured bacterium. Its description in RNAcentral is "partial 16S ribosomal RNA". It matches the Rfam family "Bacterial small subunit ribosomal RNA", at positions 30 to 507 of the family's 1533-position model. The record is from RNAcentral.